UGCUGUAGCUCAGUUGGUAGAGCAACUGAUUCGUAAUCAGUAGGUCGGAGGUUCAAGUCCUCUCAGCAG
RNAcentral lists this transfer RNA (69 nucleotides) under marine eukaryotic metagenome. It matches the Rfam family "tRNA". From Rfam's summary of the family: Transfer RNA (tRNA) molecules are approximately 80 nucleotides in length. Their secondary structure includes four short double-helical elements and three loops (D, anti-codon, and T loops). The record is from RNAcentral.